Molecule: long non-coding RNA, 705 nt
Organism: Vollenhovia emeryi
Lineage: Eukaryota; Metazoa; Arthropoda; Insecta; Hymenoptera; Formicidae
Exons: 3
Source: RefSeq, a predicted model, not a curated record
UUUCGGGAAAAGAGGAAAAUUUAUUGGUAUGGCUUUGGUAUUUGCGUUGUUGGCCGUAAUUCGUACUCCGCAACUCGAACAGGCAGGAAGUAGAGAAAGUCGCUUAUUGCACGUCGUUACGUUAUAUCUCGAAAUGUGAUCGACAAUUAUCUCAGAGUUAACUGUUACAAUUAAUAACGGCCAUUUGUCAGAGUGGAUAUUUCGCUCGCGUAAUUCAUUUCGCGUAAGGAUUAGAUUGAUUGACAGUAAAGAUUGUAAAAUAUCGUCUCGUUACAAAUUAAUAACUACUUUAUCGUAAAUGCUUGGAUUCCGAUACUUGCGUCGCGUUUUAUUGCCAAUUUAAAAGCGAUUUAUCCAUUGCUACUUUUGAAACGGGAACCCGAGGUGACACGCGAGUUACCGGUUUAAAUGAUUUGCAUGAUGGAAAGUCACACGACAUAUGCUAGUAAUACUUUGUGCGUUUUGCGGUGUUUCAGGUCGCGUACGGAAGUGCCACGUGAAAUUUCGCGCGAUCGCAAUUAAUCAUUUUCGCGAGUGAAUACUGUGUGAGUGGGACGAGGAAACUGAGAGGAGGCGGUGGCCUGGGAGGCAUCGGGCAACAGCGGAGCAACCUUGAGUUCACAAUUUACAACGUAGUCUACAACUCCGCUGUCGGGCGUAUCGAUCGAGCGUUGCCGCAGCGCGGCGUGCAGCUGCCCAGUUAAA